This is a long non-coding RNA of Amblyraja radiata (thorny skate), 1000 nucleotides long. RefSeq lists it as uncharacterized. Lineage: Eukaryota; Metazoa; Chordata; Chondrichthyes; Rajiformes; Rajidae. The transcript has 3 exons. The record is from RefSeq and is a predicted model, not a curated record.
AUCACGGAAGGACGUCUUAAUAUUCAGUCGGAGACUUCUUUUUUUCUCCUCUUUGACAUCCAGAUGAUGUGAAGUCGUGGUAAUUCAGUCGCUGUUCACUCCCUGUACUGCAUAAUUUUCUCGCCAAAUGACUUCUGCAGCCGUUUUCUCAUUGACCUUCCUUCCAUCGUUAGAUCAGAAACUGGGCAGUCCACUAAUUGAACACACAACCUUGAAUACCCUUUGCAACUUGUCAAUGCUGCCUGACCCGCUGAAUUCCUCCGGCACUUUGUGUUUUACUCGAGACACGUUAGUAACGCUCGGACACAGAACCUCACUCUAGCGAGCGCUCUCCCCGCUCUCUGGCAACGGAAAGAACAAGUUGGAUCCUAUCCCCAUUCUACACCAAGCUGUCGCUUCUUCGUACGAAUGAACUCUUCUACCGAGCCGUCUUCCUCCGACCCACCACUUUGAAGCUCAGUAUCGGGACGUUGUGGGCGAGUUUAGUUUAGUUUUAGUUUACUUUGGAGACACUUUAGAGAGUUCCUGGCGUCCUGUCCCAUCCUCGUCAACACUUUUGGGGCUUUUACGUCUCCAGGCACUUUUCUAUCCACCAACUCCUUAAAGCCGAAGGAGCCUGCGAAGCAUCCGUGAAUUCAGUCUCAAGAUCCUUGCGGGAUAUGUACCAGUGCAUCCGUCUCCCCUGCGGAUGGACAAGUUGCCAAGUCAGCUCCCCGCGCCGUUAGGGGGCAGUGUCUGAAAUAUACAAAAAUAAAAGCCACACUCCCCUCCCUCAUUUAUCACAAUACUUAAAUAUUUCAGAUAAAUUCAACAGUUUUCCCAAGUAAAUGUUUUUUUUUCCAUUCUAAAGGUGGCAAAUGCAACAAGAAGAAAUGUGCUUGGGAUAAUACGAUUGUUUAUAUUCACUUGGUAUCGAAUUAUAGCAAUUUGCAGCAUAUUUGAAUAGAUUGCGUCAAUGUAAAUAAAAUAACUGGAAAUAAUUGUAAAAUGUACGAAUUGU